AACGAACGCUGGCGGCAUGCCUAACACAUGCAAGUCGAACGAGACCUUCGGGUCUAGUGGCGCACGGGUGCGUAACGCGUGGGGACCUGCCCUUAGGUUCGGAAUAACUCCCCGAAAGGGGUGCUAAUACCGGAUAAUGUCUUCGGACCAAAGAUUUAUCGCCUUUGGAUGGGCCCGCGUUGGAUUAGCUAGUUGGUAGGGUAAAAGCCUACCAAGGCGACGAUCCAUAGCUGGUCUGAGAGGAUGAUCAGCCACACUGGGACUGAGACACGGCCCAGACUCCUACGGGAGGCAGCAGUGGGGAGUAUUGGACAAUGGGCCAAAGCCUGAUCCAGCAAUGCCGCGUGAGUGAUGAAGGCCUUAGGGUUGUAAAGCUCUUUUACCCGGGAUGAUAAUGACGGUACCGGGAGAAUAAGCUCCGGCUAACUCCGUG
RNAcentral lists this ribosomal RNA (433 nucleotides) under uncultured bacterium. RNAcentral describes it as "partial 16S ribosomal RNA". It matches the Rfam family "Bacterial small subunit ribosomal RNA", at positions 29 to 507 of the family's 1533-position model. The record is from RNAcentral.